UACGUAGGGGGCGAGCGUUACCCGGAUUUACUGGGCGUAAAGCGCGUGUAGGCGGCUGGUCAAGCGCGGUGUGAAAUCUCCGGGCUCAACCCGGAAACUGCAUUGCGAACUGACCUAGCUGGAGUGCAGGAGAGGGCAGCGGAAUUCCCGGUGUAGCGGUGAAAUGCGUAGAUAUCGGGAAGAACACCAGUGGCGAAGGCGGCUGCCUGGCCUGUAACUGACGCUGAGACGCGAAAGCGUGGGGAGCGAACCGG
RNAcentral lists this ribosomal RNA (254 nucleotides) under uncultured bacterium. Its description in RNAcentral is "partial 16S ribosomal RNA". It matches the Rfam family "Bacterial small subunit ribosomal RNA", at positions 524 to 776 of the family's 1533-position model. The record is from RNAcentral.